UGAUAAUGAUAAUGAUAAUGUUUUAUUGAUGUUAUAAAUACAAAGUAUCUUACAUACGUCACCAAGAAAAGAAGAGAAAACAAGAAAAUACACUUUAACCGUUUACAAAAGCAGAUAAUAAUAAUUAUAUAAGAAAACUUAGUUAAGAUGACAUUUUACAAAAAUAAUUACUGAAUUCAUCAACAGAGUAAAAUGCCUCUUGUAGCAGGAAAGAUUUAACACAGUUUUUAAAAGCCUUGAACUCGAGGUUUUUAUAGGUGUCAGUACGUGAUAAUCGCAGAAAAUUUGGUCUGAGUAAAUGCCGGAAUCUGGUGGAGUAUGUAUGAUCAAACGAAUCAUAUUUGUUUAAGUUUUGAUGAGUAUAUAGAAGACAUUGCAAAAUAUAAGUGCAGGGAACCGUUAAAAUUUUGAAGUUUCUGAAAUAUUGACGACAGUCACUCUGAUAGUGACAGCCAGCAAUAAUUCUGAUACAUUUUCUUUGUAUUUUGAAUAAUUUAGCUGUAUGUGGCGAAUGACCCCAAGCAAGGAUGGCAUAUGAAAGAACACUGUGAAAUAUGGCAUGAUAAACUGAUAAUAAAGUUUUAGUCGAUAAGGUAGAUACCAACUGCCUAAACAAGAACAAUUUUUUAGAAAGUUUAGUAACUAAGUAGUCGCAAUGAGUUUCCCAAGUCAAUCCACAAUCCAGAAAAACACCUAACAGCUUAAUAUAAGAAGGGGUAAUAAAUGAUUUGUUUAAGGAAAAAAUAAUUUCUUGAGUUUUGGCACAAUUAACG
Molecule: long non-coding RNA, 773 nt
Organism: Tribolium castaneum (red flour beetle)
Lineage: Eukaryota; Metazoa; Arthropoda; Insecta; Coleoptera; Tenebrionidae
Exons: 2
Source: RefSeq, a predicted model, not a curated record